RNAcentral lists this ribosomal RNA (432 nucleotides) under uncultured Caulobacteraceae bacterium. RNAcentral describes it as "bacterial SSU rRNA". It matches the Rfam family "Bacterial small subunit ribosomal RNA", at positions 342 to 791 of the family's 1533-position model. The record is from RNAcentral. Lineage: Bacteria; Pseudomonadati; Pseudomonadota; Alphaproteobacteria; Caulobacterales; Caulobacteraceae.
CGGGGGGCAGCAGUAGGGAAUCUUGCGCAAUGGGCGAAAGCCUGACGCAGCCAUGCCGCGUGAAUGAUGAAGGUCUUAGGAUUGUAAAAUUCUUUCACCGGGGACGAUAAUGACGGUACCCGGAGAAGAAGCCCCGGCUAACUUCGUGCCAGCAGCCGCGGUAAUACGAAGGGGGCUAGCGUUGCUCGGAAUUACUGGGCGUAAAGGGCGCGUAGGCGGAUAGUUUAGUCAGAGGUGAAAGCCCAGGGCUCAACCUUGGAAAUGCCUUUGAUACUGGCUAUCUUGAGUACGGGAGAGGUGUGUGGAACUCCGAGUGUAGAGGUGAAAUUCGUAGAUAUUCGGAAGAACACCGGUGGCGAAGGCGACACACUGGCCCGUUACUGACGCUGAGGCGCGAAAGCGUGGGGAGCAAACAGGAUUAGAUACCCGAGU